This 154-nucleotide ribosomal RNA is filed under the name uncultured bacterium. Its description in RNAcentral is "partial 16S ribosomal RNA". It matches the Rfam family "Bacterial small subunit ribosomal RNA", at positions 1346 to 1500 of the family's 1533-position model. The record is from RNAcentral.
AGGUCAGCAUACUGCCGUGAAUACGUUCCCGGGCCUUGUACACACCGCCCGUCACACCAUGAGAGUUGGGAAUACCCGAAGCCUGUGAGCUAACUUAUAGAGGCAGCAGUCGAAGGUAGAAUCAAUGAUUGGGGUGAAGUCGUAACAAGGUACC